AAGGGCGUCUAGGUGGAUUAACAAGUCCUGUGUGAAAUCUCUUGGCUUAACCAAGAAAGGUCACAGGAAACUAUUAAUCUAGAGGUCAUGAGAGGUAAGUGGAAUUCACAGAGUAGUGGUGAAAUGCGUAGAUACUGUGAGGAACACCAGAGGCGAAAGCGACUUACUAGCAUGAAUCUGACACUAAAGCGCGAAAGUGUGGGUAGCAAACCGGAUUAGAUACCCGGGUAGUCCACACCAUAAACGAUGGAUACUAGUUAUGGGAGGCUUAGACCCCUCUGUAACGAAGCUAACGCAUUAAGUAUCCCGCCUGGGGAGUACGGCCGCAAGGUUAAAACUCAAAGAAAUUGACGGGGGCCCGCACAAGCAGCGGAGCGUGUGGUUUAAUUCGAUGAUAAGCGAAGAACCUUACCAAGGCUUGAAAUAUAUCUGACAGCUAGUGAAAGCUAGUCUCCUUCGGGCAGAUAUACAGAUGUUGCAUGGCUGUCGUCAGCUCGUGCCGUGAGGUGUUGGGUUAAGUCCCGCAACGAGCGCAACCCUCGUCGUUAGUUACUAUGUCUAGCGAGACUGCCUCUAAAAAAGAGGAGGAAGGUGGGGAUGACGUCAAGUCAGCAUGGCUCUUACGCCUUGGGCUACACACACGCUACAAUGGAUAGUACAAAGGGCUGCAAAGGAGCGAUCCGGAGCUAAUCCCAUAAAGCUAUCCCCAGUUGGAAUUACAGGCUGCAACUCGCCUGUAUGAACGCGGAGUUGCUAGUAAACGCAGGUCAGCACACUGCGUUGAA
This 785-nucleotide ribosomal RNA is filed under the name marine metagenome. RNAcentral's name for it is "bacterial SSU rRNA". It matches the Rfam family "Bacterial small subunit ribosomal RNA", at positions 563 to 1366 of the family's 1533-position model. The record is from RNAcentral.